CCUACGGGGGGGCAGCAGUGGGGAAUAUUGCACAAUGGGCGCAAGCCUGAUGCAGCGACGCCGCGUGAGCGAUGAAGGCCUUCGGGUCGUAAAGCUCUGUCCUAAGGGAAGAAUAAUGACGGUACCUUAGGAGGAAGCCCCGGCUAACUACGUGCCAGCAGCCGCGGUAAUACGUAGGGGGCGAGCGUUAUCCGGAAUCACUGGGCGUAAAGGGUGCGUAGGCGGCCCUGCAAGUCAGGAGUUAAAUCCCUCGGCUCAACCGAGGUCAGCUCUUGAAACUGUAGGGCUAGAGUGCAGGAGAGGGGAGCGGAAGUCCUAGUGUAGCGGGGAAAUGCGGAGAUAUUAGGAGGUACAGCAGUGGGGAUGGCGGCUGUCUGUGCUGCAACAGACGCGGAGGGACGAAAGCGGGGGUAGGGUACAGACUUAGAUACCCUUGUAGUC
This 441-nucleotide ribosomal RNA is filed under the name uncultured bacterium. Its description in RNAcentral is "bacterial SSU rRNA". It matches the Rfam family "Bacterial small subunit ribosomal RNA", at positions 338 to 795 of the family's 1533-position model. The record is from RNAcentral.